GACGAACGUUGGCGGCGUGCUUAACACAUGCAAGUCGAACGGAAAGGCCCUGCUUUUGUGGGGUGCUCGAGUGGCGAACGGGUGAGUAACACGUGAGUAACCUGCCCUUGACUCUGGGAUAACUUCAGGAAACUGGGGCUAAUACCGGAUAGGAGCUCCUGCUGCAUGGUGGGGGUUGGAAAGUUUCGGCGGUUGGGGAUGGACUCGCGGCUUAUCAGCUUGUUGGUGGGGUAGUGGCUUACCAAGGCUUUGACGGGUAGCCGGCCUGAGAGGGUGACCGGCCACAUUGGGACUGAGAUACGGCCCAGACUCCUACGGGAGGCAGCAGUGGGGAAUAUUGCACAAUGGGCGGAAGCCUGAUGCAGCAACGCCGCGUGCGGGAUGACGGCCUUCGGGUUGUAAACCGCUUUCGCCUGUGACGAAGCGUGAGUGACGGUAAUGGGUAAAGAAGCACCGGCUAACUACGUGCCAGCAGCCGCGGUGAUACGUAGGGUGCGAGCGUUGUCCGGAUUUAUUGGGCGUAAAGGGCUCGUAGGUGGUUGAUCGCGUCGGAAGUGUAAUCUUGGGGCUUAACCCUGAGCGUGCUUUCGAUACGGGUUGACUUGAGGAAGGUAGGGGAGAAUGGAAUUCCUGGUGGAGCGGUGGAAUGCGCAGAUAUCAGGAGGAACACCAGUGGCGAAGGCGGUUCUCUGGGCCUUUCCUGACGCUGAGGAGCGAAAGCGUGGGGAGCGAACAGGCUUAGAUACCCUGGUAGUCCACGCUGUAAACGGUGGGUACUAGGUGUGGGGUCCAUUCCACGGGUUCCGUGCCGUAGCUAACGCUUUAAGUACCCCGCCUGGGGAGUACGGCCGCAAGGCUAAAACUCAAAGGAAUUGACGGGGCCCCGCACAAGCGGCGGAGCAUGCGGAUUAAUUCGAUGCAACGCGUAGAACCUUACCUGGGUUUGACAUGGAUCGGGAGUGCUCAGAGAUGGGUGUGCCUCUUUUGGGGUCGGUUCACAGGUGGUGCAUGGCUGUCGUCAGCUCGUGUCGUGAGAUGUUGGGUUAAGUCCCGCAACGAGCGCAACCCUUGUUCACUGUUGCCAGCACGUUAUGGUGGGGACUCAGUGGAGACCGCCGGGGUCAACUCGGAGGAAGGUGGGGAUGACGUCAAGUCAUCAUGCCCCUUAUGUCCAGGGCUUCACGCAUGCUACAAUGGCUGGUACAGAGAGUGGCGAGCCUGUGAGGGUGAGCGAAUCUCGGAAAGCCGGUCUCAGUUCGGAUUGGGGUCUGCAACUCGACCUCAUGAAGUCGGAGUCGCUAGUAAUCGCAGAUCAGCAACGCUGCGGUGAAUACGUUCCCGGGGCU
This 1346-nucleotide ribosomal RNA is filed under the name uncultured bacterium. RNAcentral's name for it is "partial 16S ribosomal RNA". It matches the Rfam family "Bacterial small subunit ribosomal RNA", at positions 28 to 1381 of the family's 1533-position model. The record is from RNAcentral.